Molecule: transfer RNA, 67 nt
Filed under: Dicamptodon aterrimus (Idaho giant salamander)
Lineage: Eukaryota; Metazoa; Chordata; Amphibia; Caudata; Dicamptodontidae
Description: tRNA-Ser
Source: RNAcentral
GAGAAGAAUUAAGAAAAACAGAAACUGCUAAUAUCUGAACCUGAGGUUAAAUUCCACAGUCUACUCA